Molecule: long non-coding RNA, 610 nt
Organism: Mercurialis annua (annual mercury)
Lineage: Eukaryota; Viridiplantae; Streptophyta; Magnoliopsida; Malpighiales; Euphorbiaceae
Exons: 4
Source: RefSeq, a predicted model, not a curated record
GCAAAAUCCCGUAGCUCCUCAUCGCAAAACCUUCUAAACUUCAAUUCACCAUAUCUUUUUCGUUUCUUAACGAAAUUGAGUGAUUCUUGCGGCCACGGAACGAGGAAAGGAUCCUCUACUGGAUUAUUGCUUCAAUUUGAGGUGUUUGUGAGCUUGAAUCAUGGAUUUUGAUGGUGAAUUGGAGCAUGAGAUCAUUCGGUUUUGAGGAAUCAUCAAGGUCCGAUAAGGCAACCUAAUAGCGGAUAAGGAACUCAGGGAGCUUACGCUAUAAUAAGCAAAGAUUUUGGAUAAGCAAGUUUGUAUGUUGCAGGUGUAUGGUUUAUGACACGACGGACUUCUACCUUAGUUCCAGAAGUCCUUAUGUACAGUAAGAAGGAGUCAACCAGUAGUGCUGCAGUAGGGUCGAGUCCUAGCAUAUUUAUAUUUGUUUGUCAAAUGAUUUUCGUAUACGAUAUAACUCUGAUUUGUAAAAGCAUUUUGAGACUUCCGCUAUAAAACCGUUUGUUUUAUUUUGGAAUGGGCUGUGCUAGGAUGUGGGGCAUCGCAUGUUAAGACCCAAGUUCCUAUGGAACGUUUUCUAUUUUGAAAAAGAUGUUUGUAUACGUCAAAG